This 895-nucleotide long non-coding RNA is filed under the name Rattus norvegicus (Norway rat). RNAcentral's name for it is "long non-coding RNA NONRATT004645". Lineage: Eukaryota; Metazoa; Chordata; Mammalia; Rodentia; Muridae. The record is from RNAcentral.
AUUUGAGAAAAAUCUGGGUCUUUCUAAAAACUGCUUUCCAUGCCCGGUUACGCUGUAUGUGCACCUGCAACAGGUGCACCUUUUGCAUCUGUCAGAACCUCCUCAACUCAGACUUGCUGCAAUCUGUAAAGAACAAAGUCUUCACUGCAGUUCUUAACAGGUUCUUAACUUUAUUUACUGGGUACCAGGCAUUCUGUUAAAAUACAAAAGAAAAAGUGGAUAACUAUUUUUAUCUAGCUACUCACUACAAAAGCAAAAGCCAACUGACCCCCACUAACUUCCACUGGAAGGCUCAAUGUGAUGACAGUGUUUAGUUUGGGAAUCAUCAUUAAUAAUGUUUUCUAAUUAAUAGGUUUAUUUCGGGAACUAUAAAACAAGAUUUGAGUCUUUUUCAUUAGAAAAGUAGCCAUCUGUUCCGUCUGAGGACAUACUAAGUACGUGGAUAUUAUAAUCUUUGGGUGUGAAUUGUAGACUAGGAGGACUUUCGUAGUAAGGAACAGACUUGUCAAUUCAAAAUCAAAAACACUGUACUGUAUUUAGUUCACAUUCCUAUGACAUACCACAUGCAGACCGUGCUAAUAUGAAUUGUAUUCUUUUCUUGAAACCAUUUGUAGUUCCAGUAUAUCUUUUGGGGGAAAAAAGGACCUGGAAUGUUUACUUGAAAGAACAAGGGUUCUAGAAACAAAACUAACAAUCAGCUUUAAAGUUUUAAGGAAUAUAGAAAGAAGCUGUAGUGCUGGAUUCUAAGCCCUCCUCCCUCAAGUUUAUUAACCCUGUUUACUCCAAACAAGCAGAUUGCUUACUGAAGUCAUUCUUAAGGUGCUAAGCUAUGACAUAGUCCUAGAACGUAAUGUAUUCUCUCAAAACUGAAAUGGGGGGAGGGGUGCAUUUAUUC